Molecule: ribosomal RNA, 702 nt
Filed under: Triticum aestivum (bread wheat)
Lineage: Eukaryota; Viridiplantae; Streptophyta; Magnoliopsida; Poales; Poaceae
Description: partial small subunit ribosomal RNA
Source: RNAcentral
AUGUUUGAUGAAACAUUUGCCUCUUUCCAAUGGCUAUUUAAGGCUUUUCUAGCUGCACACAAUGGAAAACAACCUAGAGCUAUACUUACUGACCAAGACACUGCAAUGGGAAAUGCCGUCGGGGAGGUAUUCACAGAAGCAUGGCAUGGAUUAUGUACCUUUCACAUAAUGCAAAAUGCUGUGAAGCACUUAUGCAAUAGCAAAGUUGAUGACUCACAUUCUCCAAAAGAUAAAAAUGAGGCAGAUGAAGAAGAAGAAGAAGAAGAAGAAGAACCACACAUUCUCUCAGAUUUUAGUGCUUGCAUGUAUAACAUUGAGGACACGACGGCCUUUGAAGAAGCAUUUGACAUCAUGAGGAAUAAGGUGGACGAAAAGAAGAUGUCAUGGCUGGAUAGCACCUACAAGUUCAAGGAAAAAUGGGUUGAAUGUUACACGAGAUAUGUCUUCACAUUGGGUAUGAGAAGCACACAAUUAAGUGAUAGUUUCAAUAGUGACUUGAAGAAACAUUUAAAAUCAGAUUUUGACAUCAUUCGGUUCUUGAAGCAUUUCAAAAGGGCGGUGCAAGGAAAAAGAAACAAGGAACUAGAUGCAGAAUUUGAAACUAGGAAAAAGUUACCUAGAAUAAGCAUGAAGACACCCACAAUAUUUGAAGCAUUUCAAGCUGAAUAUGGCAGAUCCAUGGCUGCAUGUACUAGAGCAUAA